This 240-nucleotide ribosomal RNA is filed under the name Staphylococcus aureus. Its description in RNAcentral is "partial 16S ribosomal RNA". It matches the Rfam family "Bacterial small subunit ribosomal RNA", at positions 53 to 282 of the family's 1533-position model. The record is from RNAcentral. Lineage: Bacteria; Bacillati; Bacillota; Bacilli; Caryophanales; Staphylococcaceae.
ACAUGCAAGUCGAGCGAACGGACGAGAAGCUUGCUUCUCUGAUGUUAGCGGCGGACGGGUGAGUAACACGUGGAUAACCUACCUAUAAGACUGGGAUAACUUCGGGAAACCGGAGCUAAUACCGGAUAAUAUUUUGAACCGCAUGGUUCAAAAGUGAAAGACGGUCUUGCUGUCACUUAUAGAUGGAUCCGCGCUGCAUUAGCUAGUUGGUAAGGUAACGGCUUACCAAGGCAACGAUGC